CUAAAUUUACCUUAAAAAACAAUUUAUAAAAUAAAAUUAUACUCAAUUACCUUUAACUUACAAAAGCAAUUUAAAAAAUAAAAUUUAUACUCAAUUACAUAUUAUAAGUUUAUUUAUAUCCAAUCAAUACGAGCUUUCCAGCAUUUCUUCUAUGCACAAAGACAACCGACAAACAGUACUACCAUAUCAAUGGCAAUGUUUGGUUCUGAAGAACUCUUCGUGGCAUUUCUUGUUUUCGUCUUAAUCUACUACUGGAGGCUCAGCAGGCACACUCCCAUCACCAACUGGCCCGUGNN
RNAcentral lists this long non-coding RNA (296 nucleotides) under Vigna radiata. Its description in RNAcentral is "long non-coding RNA (VRAD_LNC009718)". Lineage: Eukaryota; Viridiplantae; Streptophyta; Magnoliopsida; Fabales; Fabaceae. The record is from RNAcentral.